Long non-coding RNA from Helicoverpa armigera (cotton bollworm), 1057 nucleotides. RefSeq lists it as uncharacterized. The transcript has 2 exons. The record is from RefSeq and is a predicted model, not a curated record. Lineage: Eukaryota; Metazoa; Arthropoda; Insecta; Lepidoptera; Noctuidae.
UGAAUCCCUAUCUGUGAUAACUCAUCACAUAGAAUAUCUAUAUUUACACUAUUAAAUGCACCUGCAACAUCAAAGAACACUCCAACCAGAUUUUCAUUUGCUGUUAUGGAUUUAUAAAUAUCAAGCUGCAGUUGACAAAUACUUUCACGAGCGGAACGAUUCCUACGAAAACCAAAUUGAUUUGAUGGGAUGUGAUAACUGCUACCAAGAGGACAAUCAUGUACGUUCCAUUCACAAUUCAGCGCUAAAGAUGAUGAAACUAAUGUCAAAUCCAACGCAUUAGGACGCCAAGUCAAGGAGCCAACAGUAGUUGGUUGACCAUCAUUGAGCAGAACCAAAUUAUUAUCAUCAAUAACCUGUAGAAUACUGCGCCCACGCACAGAGUCCGAGCCACAGCCCCAAGAUGUGUGAUGAGCAUUAAAAUCACCAGCCAAUAUGAAAGGUUCAGGAAUAGAUUUUAUUAAUAGAUCCAAUUUUUCCUUUGAGAAUUGCGGAUUACAAUUCAAAGGACUAUAAAGACUGACUAUACAUAACUCUUUGUUAUUUACUUUUAUUUUAACACAAAUAUUUUGUAAUGAGUUAUCACAGAAGGUUUUAAUUUGAGUAUAAUUAAUACUUUUAUGAAUGAUUAUUGCAACACCAUUAUGUUUGUUACCAAUAUCAUUUCUUUCAAUAUUAUAAUGUUUAAUUUUAAAAUCGUGUUGCGGUUUUAACCACGUUUCACUAAUGAUUGCCAGAUGAAUAUUGUGUCUAUAAAGAAAGUCAAUAAAUAUAUGUUUGUUACUAUUUAAGCUUUGUGCAUUCCAUUGGACAAUAUUUAAUUCCGAAAUAUCCAUUAACAGGCAGAAGAAAAUUUAUCACAUAAAGUUGAUUUGAGAGCUUCUUUAAUCGACAUUGAAUUAAUGGGUGUUUGUUUAUUGCUUAAUAUUUUCGUAAGUGUUUCCACUAAUGUAUUUAUAAAUUUGUCUGAUUUCAUAAGAUUAUUUAUUUGCGUGUCAAUAUUGCGUGCCGUUAGAGCUGGGAAUGAAUUCACAUUAAAAAGGUCUGAAUAAGUGGC